AACGAACGCUGGCGGCAGGCCUAACACAUGCAAGUCGAACGAUAAGCCACCUUCGGGUGGUGGACAGUGGCAGACGGGUGAGUAACGCGUGGGAACGUGCCUUUCGGUUCGGAAUAACCCAGGGAAACUUGGGCUAAUACCGGAUACGCCCUUCGGGGGAAAGAUUCAUUGCCGAAAGAUCGGCCCGCGUCGGAUUAGCUAGUUGGUAGGGUAAAGGCCUACCAAGGCGACGAUCUAUAGCUGGUCUGAGAGGACGAUCAGCCACACUGGGACUGAGACACGGCCCAGACUCCUACGGGUGGCUG
Molecule: ribosomal RNA, 305 nt
Filed under: uncultured Pseudomonadota bacterium
Lineage: Bacteria; Pseudomonadati; Pseudomonadota
Description: bacterial SSU rRNA
Rfam family: Bacterial small subunit ribosomal RNA
Source: RNAcentral